This 460-nucleotide ribosomal RNA is filed under the name uncultured bacterium. RNAcentral describes it as "partial 16S ribosomal RNA". It matches the Rfam family "Bacterial small subunit ribosomal RNA", at positions 338 to 795 of the family's 1533-position model. The record is from RNAcentral.
CCUACGGGUGGCAGCAGUGAGGAAUAUUGGUCAAUGGACGCAAGUCUGAACCAGCCAUGCCGCGUGAAGGAAGACGGCUCUAUGAGUUGUAAACUUCUUUUGUACGAGGAUAAACGCAGAUACGCGUAUCUGUCUGAAAGUACCCUAUGAAUAAGGAUCGGCUAACUCCGUGCCAGCAGCCGCGGUAAUACGGAGGAUUCGAGCGUUAUCCGGAUUUAUUGGGUUUAAAGGGUGCGUAGGCGGGCGUUUAAGUUAGCUGUGAAAUCGCGGGGCUCAACUUGGGAAUUGCAUUUGAUACUGGUCGGCUAGAGAGUAGUUGAGGUAGGCGGAAUGUGUGGUGUAGCGGUGAAAUGCUUAGAGAGCAUGCAGAACACCGAUUGCGAAGGCAGCUUACCAAGCUGCCACUGACGUUGAGGCACGAAAGCGUGGGGAGCAAACAGGAUUAGAUACCCGUGUAGUC